AAGGAUCAUUAAUGAAUUUUGGAGUUCUACUGUGCCUGCCGUUCAUUUGGAUGUGUGCACGUAGUCUCUAUAAAUCCUUAUCAACACCUGUGCACCUUUAAAAAGGGGAAACUGAUUAAGCUUUUUACGGGCUUAUGAGGAGUAACCUUUUUUCUUAUACAAACUCUUAAUGUCUAUUAGAAUGUUCUCUGGCCGCAAGGCUAUAAAAUAUAAACAACUUUUAACAACGGAUCUCUUGGCUCUCGCAUCGAUGAAGAACGCAGCGAAAUGCGAUAAGUAAUGUGAAUUGCAGAAUUCAGUGAAUCAUCGAAUCUUUGAACGCACCUUGCACUCCUUGGUAUUCCGAGGAGUACGCCUGUUCGAGUGUUAUGAAGCUCUCAAAACGCAAUUGGCUUAAAAUCUGAUUGUUGUUUUGGAUUUGAACUUUGCCGUGUUAUAACGGCUGGUUUUAAAAGUAUUAGCUGGUACUAGAACGAAUUGGUUCUACUCAACGUGAUAAUUAUCUGAUCGUUGAGGACAUUCCUUUCACGAGGAAUGGCCAUAGUAAAUUCAAUGGACUGCUUCUAAUCUGGCUUUAAUUCUUUAUUGGAUUAACCACUUUUCAAAUCUGACCUCGAAUCAGGUGGGACUACCCGCUGAACUUAAGCAUAUCAAUAAGCGGAGGAAAAGAAACUAACAAGGAUUCCCCUAGUAACGGCGAGUGAAGCGGGAUGAGCUCAAAUUUAAAAUCUGAUAGUCUUUGGCUGUCCGAGUUGUAAUCUAGAGAAGUGUUUUCCGCGUUGGACCAUGUACAAGUUUCCUGGAACGGAACGUCAUAGAGGGUGAGAAUCCCGUCCUUGACAUGGACUACCAGUGCUUUGUGAUACACUCUCAACGAGUCGAGUUGUUUGGGAUUGCAGCUCAAAAUGGGAGGUAAAUUCCUUCUAAAGCUAAAUAUUGGCGAGAGACCGAUAGCGAACAAGUACCGUGAGGGAAAGAUGAAAAGCACUUUGGAAAGAGAGUUAAACGGUACGUGAAAUUGUUAAAAGGGAAACGAUUGAAGUCAGUCGCGUUUACUUGGACUCAGCCUUACCUCGGUUUGGUGCAUUUCCUUGUGAACGGGCCAGCGUCAAUGUUGUCCGUUGGAAAAGGGUUGGAGAAAUGUGGCUCUUUCGGGAGUGUUAUAGUCUCUGAUCGUAUACAACGGC
This 1187-nucleotide ribosomal RNA is filed under the name uncultured Minimedusa. Its description in RNAcentral is "eukaryotic LSU rRNA". The stretch from base 609 to 1187 matches the Rfam family "Eukaryotic large subunit ribosomal RNA", at positions 1 to 580 of the family's 3401-position model. The record is from RNAcentral. Lineage: Eukaryota; Fungi; Basidiomycota; Agaricomycetes; Cantharellales.